GAAAUGCGAUAAGUAAUGUGAAUUGCUGAAUUCAGUGAAUCAUCGAAUCUUUGAACGCACCUUGCGCUCCUUGGUAUUCCUUGGAGCAUGCCUGUUUGAGUAUCAUGAAAUCUUCAAAGUAAAUCUUUUGUUAACUCAAUUGGUUUCUACUUUGGUAUUGGAGGUCUUUGCAGCUUCACACCUGCUCCUCUUUGUUCAUUAGCUGGAUCUCAGUGUUAUGCUUGGUUCCACUCGGCGUGAUAAGUUAUCUAUCGCUGAGGACACUGUAAAAGGUGGCCAAGGUAAAUGCAGAUGAACCGCUUCUAAUAGUCCAUUGACUUGGACAAUACUUUUAUGAUCUGAUCUCAAAUCAGGUAGGACUACCCGCUGAACUUAAGC
Molecule: unclassified non-coding RNA, 378 nt
Filed under: plant metagenome
Description: partial contains 5.8S ribosomal RNA, internal transcribed spacer 2, and large subunit ribosomal RNA
Rfam family: 5.8S ribosomal RNA (bases 1-105)
Source: RNAcentral